GCAGAUGCCCGGGCCCCCGGCGGGAAGGUACGGCGUUGGGACCAGGGCCUGGAGAAGCCCCGCCUUGACUACUCUGAGUUCUUCACGGAGGACGUGGGCCAGCUGCCUGGCCUGACCAUCUGGCAGAUAGAGAACUUCGUGCCUGUGCUGGUGGAGGAAGCCUUCCACGGCAAGUUCUACGAGGCUGACUGCUACAUUGUGCUCAAGGUGAGGGCCGGGCAUGCUGUUAGGGGCCAUGUGGCCUGGUGCCUUCCUCUAAGAUGGCUCGGUCCCCACCUCCAGAGCUUGUUCAGGGAGGCCAGGUGGGAGGUGGGCAGGCUGCAGGAGGGGGUCCAGGCGCAGGGGCAGUACAAAGUCCCUGGGGCUGGGAAGCCUGUGCUGUUCAGAGUGGCGUCUCCGGGGUGGCCGGAAGGUCAGGAUGAAGGCUGAUGUGGCCGGUGCCUUGGCUUCCAGACCUUUCUGGAUGACAGCGGCUCCCUCAACUGGGAGAUCUACUACUGGAUUGGCGGGGAGGCCACACUCGACAAGAAAGCUUGCUCUGCCAUCCACGCUGUCAACUUGCGCAACUACCUGGGUGCUGAGUGCCGCACUGUCCGGGAGGAGAUGGGCGAUGAGAGCGAGGAGUUCCUGCAGGUGUUUGACAACGACAUCUCCUACAUUGAGGGUGGAACAGCCAGUGGCUUCUACACUGUGGAAGACACGCACUACGUCACCAGGAUGUAUCGUGUGUAUGGGAAAAAGAACAUCAAGUUGGAGCCUGUGCCCCUCAAGGGGACCUCUCUGGACCCAAG
This 791-nucleotide small RNA is filed under the name Pongo abelii (Sumatran orangutan). Its description in RNAcentral is "retained intron". Lineage: Eukaryota; Metazoa; Chordata; Mammalia; Primates; Hominidae. The record is from RNAcentral.